This is a non-coding RNA of Phrynosoma platyrhinos (Desert horned lizard), 74 nucleotides long. NCBI's taxonomy places the organism in Eukaryota, Metazoa, Chordata, Lepidosauria, Squamata, Phrynosomatidae. The record is from the annotation of a GenBank genome assembly.
GCUAGCGUGGCAUAGUGGUUUGAGUGUUGGACUCUAAGACUCUGGAGACCAGGGUUCGAUUCCCCACUUGGGCG